CUAAGUCCUAAUCAUGCAAGAGAUGAAGGGAAAGAAAUAAGACCACAAAUGGAGUUCCCUUCUUAAGAUCAUAUUGAUGAUCCAAGUAGCUCCCAUCCUUUAGAAUAAGCAAGCAAAUAAGUGUAUACUCAAGCAAUCAAUCAAUCAAGCAAAGCUCUUAGGAAUCCUCCCAUGGCUCUUAGAUUUCUCACUUUAGAAGCUCAUGACAAUGGUUCUUCACUUAGGCUCAAUGUUGGAAUCCCUAGCACAAGAACAC
Molecule: long non-coding RNA, 256 nt
Filed under: Lathyrus oleraceus (garden pea)
Lineage: Eukaryota; Viridiplantae; Streptophyta; Magnoliopsida; Fabales; Fabaceae
Description: Pisum sativum (pea) long non-coding RNA (PSAT_LNC004743)
Source: RNAcentral